ACACGUGUGCAACCUGCCUUUAUCUGGGGGAUAGCCUUUCGAAAGGAAGAUUAAUACCCCAUAAUAUACUGAAUGGCAUCAUUCUGUAUUGAAAACUCCGGUGGAUAGAGAUGGGCACGCGCAAGAUUAGAUAGUUGGUGAGGUAACGGCUCACCAAGUCUACGAUCUUUAGGGGGCCUGAGAGGGUGAUCCCCCACACUGGUACUGAGACACGGACCAGACUCCUACGGGAGGCAGCAGUGAGGAAUAUUGGACAAUGGGUGAGAGCCUGAUCCAGCCAUCCCGCGUGAAGGACGACGGCCCUAUGGGUUGUAAACUUCUUUUGUAUAGGGAUAAACCUACCCUCGUGAGGGUAGCUGAAGGUACUAUACGAAUAAGCACCGGCUAACUCCGUGCCAGCAGCCGCGGUAAUACGGAGGGUGCAAGCGUUAUCCGGAUUUAUUGGGUUUAAAGGGUCCGUAGGCGGAUCUGUAAGUCAGUGGUGAAAUCUCACAGCUUAACUGUGAAACUGCCAUUGAUACUGCAGGUCUUGAGUGUUGUUGAAGUAGCUGGAAUAAGUAGUGUAGCGGUGAAAUGCAUAGAUAUUACUUAGAACACCAAUUGCGAAGGCAGGUUACUAAGCAACAACUGACGCUGAUGGACGAAAGCGUGGGGAGCGAACAGGAUUAGAUACCCUGGUAGUCCACGCCGUAAACGAUGCUAACUCGUUUUUGGAAUGUAAGUUUCAGAGACUAAGCGAAAGUGAUAAGUUAGCCACCUGGGGAGUACGAACGCAAGUUUGAAACUCAAAGGAAUUGACGGGGGCCCGCACAAGCGGUGGAUUAUGUGGUUUAAUUCGAUGAUACGCGAGGAACCUUACCAAGGCUUAAAUGGGAAAUGACAGGUUUAGAAAUAGACUUUUCUUCGGACAUUUUUCAAGGUGCUGCAUGGUUGUCGUCAGCUCGUGCCGUGAGGUGUUAGGUUAAGUCCUGCAACGAGCGCAACCCCUGUCACUAGUUGCCAUCAUUAAGUUGGGGACUCUAGUGAGACUGCCUACGCAAGUAGAGAGGAAGGUGGGGAUGACGUCAAAUCAUCACGGCCCUUACGCCUUGGGCCACACACGUAAUACAAUGGCCGGUACAGAGGGCAGCUACACUGCGAAGUGAUGCAAAUCUCGAAAGCCGGUCUCAGUUCGGAUUGGAGUCUGCAACUCGACUCUAUGAAGCUGGAAUCGCUAGUAAUCGCGCAUCAGCCAUGGCGCGGUGAAUACGUUCCCGGGCCUUGUACACACCACCGGUCAAGCCAUGGAAGUCUGGGGUACCUGAAGUCGGUGACCGUAACAGGAGC
Molecule: ribosomal RNA, 1326 nt
Filed under: bacterium
Lineage: Bacteria
Description: bacterial SSU rRNA
Rfam family: Bacterial small subunit ribosomal RNA
Source: RNAcentral